This 220-nucleotide ribosomal RNA is filed under the name uncultured bacterium. RNAcentral describes it as "partial 16S ribosomal RNA". It matches the Rfam family "Bacterial small subunit ribosomal RNA", at positions 524 to 743 of the family's 1533-position model. The record is from RNAcentral.
UACGUAGGGUGCAAGCGUUGUCCGGAAUUAUUGGGCGUAAAGAGCUCGUAGGCGGUCUGUCGCGUCUGCUGUGAAAACUCAGGGCUUAACCCUGAGCUUGCAGUGGGUACGGGCAGACUAGAGUGCGGUAGGGGAGACUGGAAUUCCUGGUGUAGCGGUGAAAUGCGCAGAUAUCAGGAGGAACACCGGUGGCGAAGGCGGGUCUCUGGGCCGUAACUGA